GCUCCGGCCGGUCCAGAGCCCGCGGUACAACGGAGGGUUCGUGGGUUAAUCGGUAUUACCGGGCGUAAAGCGAACGCAGGCGGUUGGAUAAGUGAGAUGUGAAAGCCCCGGGCUCAACCUGGGAAUUGCAUUGUGAACUGUCCAGCUAGAGUCGUGAAGAGGGGGGUAGAAUUCCAGGUGUAGCGGUGAAAUGCGUAGAGAUCUGGAGGAAUACCGGUGGCGAAGGCGGCCCCCUGGACAAAGACUGACGCUCAGGUGCGAAAGCGUGGGGAGCAAACAGGAUUAGAUACCCCAGUAGUC
Molecule: ribosomal RNA, 300 nt
Filed under: uncultured Actinomadura sp.
Lineage: Bacteria; Bacillati; Actinomycetota; Actinomycetes; Streptosporangiales; Thermomonosporaceae
Description: bacterial SSU rRNA
Rfam family: Bacterial small subunit ribosomal RNA
Source: RNAcentral